GGUGGUUCUCAGGUGAUGCACCCUGGAAUUGGGCUCCUUCUCUCUGAAUCUGGGUGCGUUACCCAAGAACCACA
Molecule: non-coding RNA, 74 nt
Organism: Myotis lucifugus (little brown bat)
Lineage: Eukaryota; Metazoa; Chordata; Mammalia; Chiroptera; Vespertilionidae
Source: Rfam